UGAAAAGUAAAUUUACUUAUUUUUUAGAUGAUAAAAACAAUCAUACUUAUUUUAAAAUAUUCAAACAGUAUAUAAGUGUAUAAGGUAAAUUUCUUAUUAUCUGCUCCCACCCCAACUAAUCUGGACAAUCACACACAAAUAGGAUCUACUGUAAUACUAUUUUUCAACUUGCUUCCCUCCACCCCCACUUAACAAUAAACAAUGUAUAUAUAAAAUAAUGUAUGUAUAAACCAACGCAUAUAUUGGGUCUGUUUUACCCUAUCGGUAAAAACAGAUCUGCUGCUAAUGUAAUGGAAAUAAUCAAAACAAAACUAAGGACUUUUAAACCUGAGGAUUAAUUCUUAUGCAUUAGAAUUUAAUAUGGAGAAAUAGGGAAAUCAUUCUGUUACCGAAAUUAUUUACAAAAUACCAUCCUUAACUGACAACCUUUAGUCCCGUAUCUUCAUAAAAGCAGCUUAGAGUGCCUGAAGGGUUUUGAGGGUUCUGCAAGGUGUGUCAUAUUAUAGCUCACAUCAGUGCACAUUGAUGUAUCUCUCUGGCAAGAACUGAAAGAUACAGUUCUUAAAUCCCCUGCUGACCCAUUAUCCAUGGAUCAUUGACAAGAUAGAAUGUAAUAGCUCCUGUCUUUUUACCAAGGUAAACCUCCCAGUGAAACUGCAUUGUUCAUGCCCUACAUCUUUUAUCUAAAUAAGAAAAUGAAUAUAGGGAAAAAAACUAUGUUAAGUAGAUAAUAUAAAUACUUUCAUAUUCUUUAUUAUAUUUUAAUAUUUGUUGAAUGAGGAAACAUAAACUGUUUAAUUGCAGGGGCUGAGACUAAGAAAGUUUUCCCAUAACCUAUCUUUCCAAAUAGAUCAUCUUAAAUACAAGGCUAAAGGAAUUGCAUAAGAUCCAGCAUUUAGAACACCAAAUUAAACUAAUAGACAUGUUGCCUAUUUAAGGACAGCAUUAAAACAGUAGUUCAGUUGGUGUUAUGGGUCAGAAUUUAACAUUUCCCAUUAUCUUGAUCUAAAAAGUCAAUGUUUCUCUACUCUAAAAGUUAUUUCAUUUGUGAACUGGGUCAUAAAGAGUCAUAAGCUCUCAGAGGGAUUUAUUCACAGACCUCGGCAAUGUUUACCAUGUGGCACUGUGUUUUUGCAACAUCACAUAUUGACAGUGCUGUGUUGUAAAUUUCAUAAUGCGAUGACAGGACAUGGCCAUAUUUUUAUGUGGUUCUGAUCAAGAUCCAUCUGAAAGCUCCUUAUUUUAUGUUAGUCUUCUUGACUUCUAAAAGAAUUCUGCCAUAUUUCUAUCUGUUUAAAUCUAGAAAAGGUUAGAAAUAGAAAGAUGAUGCUCUUGUCAACUUGAUUAACACUUCAUUUCCUGCCCGGGGCAAAAUAAAAAAAGAAAAUGAAAAAAUAAAUACAUAACUUGACCAACCAUCUCAGUAAGAAUAUGGGCAAGUGAAUCAGAUAUUUGGCCUAGACCAGUGAAAUUAAAGAUACAUAUCCCUUUAACUCAGUGAUUCCACUAGAGAAACUCAAACACAUCUGCAGAAAGAUACAUGGGCAGGAAUAUUCUCUGAAAUAUUGUUUGUAAUAGAGAAAAACUAAAAAAAAAUCAAUGUCCCCUAGCAUGAGAAUGGGUAAAUAAAUAAUCAAUAUUCACAUAAUAGAACACCAUAUAGUAGUUAAAAUGACCCGUUUAGCAGUAAACGUAUCAGCAUGGAUUAAUCUCAAGCACAUAAUGUUGUAUGGGAAAAAAAUAAUUUGCAGAAUGAUGAGUACCUAUCAUUCAUAUAAAUUUUGGAGACAUGUAGUUCAUAAAACUGUAGUGAAAGUAUAAGAUGUUCUUGGAAAUAAUAAGCACCAGAGUCUGCAUAGUGGGUACCUUUGGAGAGAAAGAGGAAAGAAAUUAGAGACCAGUACAUAUUGAGGGGGGAUUUCAGUUGUAUUUAUGAUAUUUUAUUUCUUCAUUAUAUCUGAAGCAAAUAUAGAAAUUAAGACUUGGAAAAGCUGAGGGAUAAAUAGAGGGGUGUUUGUCAUAUUAGUCUCUCUACUGUCCUAUAUACUUGGAAAUUUUCAUAAUAAACCGUUUUCAAAAAAGAAUCAGAUAUUAGAGCUGAAAGGGACUUUAGGAAAUGUCUAAUAAUUGGAUUUUUAGUGAGUAGCUACUCUGUGAUGUUAGGAUUACUCUGAUGAUGUUAGGAUUACUCUGGUGCAUCAGAGACACAAGGGCUCUACACCCUUGGAGCUUACAUUCUACCAGAAAGAGACCAAAUUUAAAAUUAAACAGAAUAUUAACAUGGACCAUACAGAGGAUUUCAUUUCAUUUGAGGAUGAAGAAAUUGAGGUGCAAAAAAGUCAAGUGAUUUUCCCAAGGUACAAGCCAAUUCUAGAACUUUGCCUUCCUCUCUGUCUUUCUACAUACUUCUAUUUUCCUCUGGUCUCCCUCUAACCUAAUGUUAUUCUAAUUAUUGAUGGUGUUAGGCACAAGCACAUUGCCAGUGUCUCACUUGUUUGUAGCCAUCUGUUUGGCAUAGGUACAAAUUUGUCAAAUACUAAAACUUAACUAAAUAGCUUUAAAAUUGUUGAAUAUUUUGAACAUGACAUUAAAUUACAACCUUCUCAUAUUAGGUAGGUCAGCAUUAUCUUUGUUUCAUGGGUGAAGAAAGAGAUGAAUGGGGGAGUAGCUGUGGGGUGAAGUAAAUUGCCUAAGGCUCUGUAGGAAACAAGAGUGACAGGUUCUGGAUCAGAAUUCAGAACUCUGACUUAAUCUAAUGCAAAAUCUGGAGUACCUUUCUUGCUGAUCUUCCCUUUUAGGUUAAUGUGCCUCACUUCCACACAUUCCUGUAAAGCUAACACUCUUGAAAAUUGUAAGAAAAGGGCCCUUACCACUAAUACCUUGUCAGAUAAAUUGAGUAUUUUUCACCUUCAAAGUUUUGAAUUCAUUGGUAAACAUGUUUAAUGUAAACUUUUAUGUCCAUCUAAGUGUGCAAACUCUUCUCUCCAGAUGGCCUCAAAGAACAUUCAGGGAAAUCAUUUUCCAAACCAUAACUGUUCUAUUCAGAGCUUUGAAGACAGAUAUCAGGUCUUCAGAACCAAUGAAGAAGAAACCAUUACUUAUCAAAGAAGGCUUCUAUGGACGUAUGUAGAAGGUUCCCCUGUCAGUGAGGGUGGAAGAGAGGGGAUAAGGAAGACUCACUGGAGAAGGUAAAUGUGGUUUCAAUGGUGAGAGAACAUUCAGGUGAGUUUCUCCGAAUGAAGUAUGCUCUCCUGGUAAUGAUCAUAGUAAUGGCAAAUAGCAGGGUUUUUUUAAAGCAUAAUCCAUGACACAAAAUUCUUUUUAGACGCUCUGAGAAAAAGGAAUUUUGUAGUCAAAUACAUCUGAAACUUAACAAUGUAUGCUAACAACUAAUGUCUCUGAACAGUCUGGCAGUAAAGAAACCUGAUUAACACAGUAUAACCCAGCAUUUCCCAUACUACCCUGACCAUAACCAUCCUUUCUUGUUGUUGGGGGGAUACCUGGGGGAAGACCUAU
Molecule: long non-coding RNA, 3516 nt
Filed under: Homo sapiens (human)
Lineage: Eukaryota; Metazoa; Chordata; Mammalia; Primates; Hominidae
Description: HSALNT0348631
Source: RNAcentral